ACGGAAGAUCUCUCACACACUUGGCCACAUGUUGACUGCAUUAUUUCAGGGCCACCUGGGCCAUUCCCUGCCUCCAGGAAGGAUCUGCCGGAGCCUGGAAGGAGAAAGGAUCUUCCCAGCGCUUCAGGACCCAGGUAGCACCUCCCUGCUGGGGACUGUCCAUGUGGCCUUCUUGCUGGCAAUUCCACAGGUAAGGGAUGGGGUCCCCACUCUAGGGCAGUGUUUUCCUAAUGUCUUAAGAUACAAAGUUUACAUCUUGACAGUGUAUUCACAAACACAGAUACACCUAUUAAAACAAGUUUUACAUCAGACAUUACCUUCAGAUUAGGAGUAUGCUUGUCUUGAUGAGCACUGAAUAAUGUAUGGAACUGUUGGAUCACUAUAUUGUACACCUUAAACUAAUAAAGCACUGUAUGUCGACUACACUGGCAUUAAAAUUAAAAAAAUGAAUAAUUAAAUUUAAAUGAAAAAACACAUUACCCUCAGCAUGAGUGAUGCCCUUUAAUAGUUUGAAUUGUGUAAUUUCAUUUUUUUUAAGGCUGGUCUACGCCCACUGAACGGAUAUUUUUACCUACUAAUGGAUUAAAACCCACAGUUAGAAAAGCACCAUUAUAGGGCAUGGCAGAGGAAGAAAGAAAAGAAUAAGCAGAAGGAGAACGGUAGGGGCAUGGGAAAGGUAGAACAGAGAAAGAAGGCAAGGACAGAGUGCAAAAAGGUGUUUUGUGGGAGGUCACACAGAUGUGCCUGCCAUCAUGUCCCUUCCAGGGCAUCUGUUCUAAGAUACACUACCACCCCACCCUGUGCGUGCCCUUAGGCAUCCUUUUCCAUGAGACCCCGGCCUACCUGGUGGCAAGGACAAAAUCUUUUUCGCUUUGGAAGCCCCACACCUCCCAGCAGAGGGAGGCACAGUCUUAGAAAACAGGCCAUAGUCAAAGCUUUCCAUUUUCCGGGGGAGGAAAAUGCCUUGGAGGGUCAGCCAGUCAGUGAUUAUAUAGCACAGUCAAGAUUUGCCCAGUGGGUCACAAGUAUCAGUUUGUCAUCUAAACUGAAGAUAAUACCCAUUUUGGAGAGUUAGAGGAUUAGCACUAUGUGCAUCAGGAACAUAUACGUGUCUGGUACAUCAUGGAAGCUCAAAUAGCACCUGCUAUUAUUAUUUUUUAUAUGUUCAUUUUGAGAGAGAGAGAGAGAGAAAAAGAGCGAGUGGGGGAGGGGCAGAGAGAGAGGAAGACAGAGAAUCCCAAGCAGGCUCUGCAGCUGUCAGUGCAGAGCCUGACUCAGGGCGCAAACUCACAACCAUGAGUAGGGCGCUUAACUGACUGAGCCACCCAGGCGCCCCAGCACCUGCUGUUAUUAUCGUUAGUGGUGACAAGAGUAAAGAAACGCCACCUCAGGUAUGCUCUGUCACUAUCGUUUUGGGGCAGGUUGGCUGCCAAUGUCUUCAUCCUAGAUAAAAAUGGAAAUCCUCAUAGACACAUAAGGAAAUGACCUUAGAAAUAAAACCAGAGGAAAUAUGUGCAUGCAUAAAUUAGCAAAAGACUAAUUUAAGCAUGUAGACUUUAACAGAUGUUCAGCUUGGCUAUAUCAGCAUUUUAAGUUGCUGUACAUUCUUGAAAAAUUAAUGGAAUGACUUAUUUCCCCACUGAUUUCAGUCAGUAUUGGGGGGAAGACAACCCUCACAGGCUCUAGCUACUCCUAGUCUGUGUGACAAAAUAAAUGCAAAGAGUACUGUAUAGAAAUGGAUAAUAUAAAUGGGAAAGAUGGACCAGAAAAAAAUCAUGGUGGUAGGAACUCAAGAUCAUUCUCCCAGUCUUCACAACUUAGUUUGUAAAUAAAAAUGCUUUAGCGAACUUAGUUUUAGUGUUUAAUGUUUAAAAUACUGAGUUGUUUUACUUUAAAAAAAGUUAAGUUCAUCUAUUAAUAAGCAAAUUCAGUACAGAGUUUAUACUAAUUAGAAAACACUUUUUUGGUUAAGUACAGACAUUGACAAAAUCCUCGGUUCAAUUAUUUUGCUCUAAAUUUCUCCUUUCCCUUCUUGUCCACUAGAUGGCGGAUCGGAACCACUCUGGAUCCUGCCAAUGCCCUGGCAGCUCUUUUCUGCACCGAUUUUAAGUGGCCAAACUCUAUUUUUGUUUUGUUCCUUCCAGAUUUUGCUCUCAUCCCAAUCGAAAGAAACACAAACUUUGUGAACAUUUUAGGACAGUCUGUGGCAUACAAACAGAGUUAUUUUAACUGGGGAGCUGGAGCUGCCUUAAAAAAGCUUCUUGUUCCUUGCCUGAAGGCCUGAGCCAAGGGGAUUUGUCCUGUUCCUUUGGAGGAACAUUGGAUAGUACCGUUGUGGUAACAUGAGUGAAAGUAUCCAAGCCAGGCACUGGGCUAGGAGUUCCAUCUCAUUCAUUCUUCACAGAGAGACUGUAAGGUGUCACCUCUGUGUUAUAAAAGACAACAUUAAGAACUUAAGCCACGUUGAGGGUAAGUAACUUUGUCCAGAGCUGAGUUUGAGUCUGGAACUCUGGGACGUCAAAUAUUUUCGCUUAACCACAGUGCUAUGCCACCUUCCUGGUGCUGUUACCUGGUGGGUGUUUAACCACGGGCUGAUUUCUGCCUCAUCUGCCCCACUAGCCACCUAGGUCUCAAAAGAGUCAUCUCAGGAUUAGUCUAGGUUGUCAGGCUGAAUCAGGACCUUUUGCAGAGUUUUUCUCUGUGAACUAGAGUUUAAACUUGCACACUUAGACUAGUAUAUCUCUGAAGUGUGUAUUUCCUUCCCAAACCAAUCUAAGACCAAGAGGAAUCAGAGUUACUAAUAAGCACCAAGAGAGAACUGGUAUCUUUCUUAUAAAAACUAAAAAGCUAAGAAAAACAAUAAUCAGUGCGAAGUCUCAAAAUGGUUAAUAUUUCUUUCAAAGAAAAAAUAAUAUUUACCCGAGCAUGCAAUUUUUGCAUGUUUCGUGACAAAGCUUGUUUCACGCUGAAAGAAAAAAAAAUCACUCAGAAUGAAGCCAAUUUUAAUUUACACGCACACAAAUUUAAGUAAGCAAGUAUUAAAGGAAUAAGGCCACCACACACAUAAAGCACUGUAUUUAUGUGUAUAUAAAUGUUUGUUGUGAUCUUUUUUUUCCUCUCAUAUAUCCAGAAAAUGUUUCUGUAGUUCUGACUCAUUUGGCCCUGGCGUCCUCUCCCACUUAUCCACCUACCAUGCUAUGUUCCCUGUGUGCCUUGAUUCUGGGUCCACCCAGCUAGCUCUGUUCCUACGGAAGUAAGGAAUGGCAGUGAGCCCACCAUUCUCCAUUCUUCCCCGUGUGCACCAAAAGAGAAUGGAAAUGAGCCCAAACUAUAGAAGCUGGUGGGGAAACACACGUCUUGUUCAGGUGUUGUCCCAGCUACGAGAGCAACACCAGGUCUCGGCCUCCAGUGGCUCCCCACUGCCUGCACCUGCAGAAAAGCCCAACUCCUCAGCCUAAUUUUUUUUUCAAUGUAUGAAGUUUAUUGUCACAUUGGUUUCCAUACAACACCCAGUGCUC
This 3518-nucleotide long non-coding RNA is filed under the name Lynx pardinus (Iberian lynx). The record is from RNAcentral. Lineage: Eukaryota; Metazoa; Chordata; Mammalia; Carnivora; Felidae.